RNAcentral lists this unclassified non-coding RNA (377 nucleotides) under uncultured Actinomycetes bacterium. Its description in RNAcentral is "uncultured actinobacterium contains 16S-23S intergenic spacer region". The record is from RNAcentral. Lineage: Bacteria; Bacillati; Actinomycetota; Actinomycetes.
UCCGAGUUGACCCCGGCAGUCUCCUGUGAGUCCCCACCAUUACGUGCUGACAACACAGAACGAGGGUUGCGCUCGUUGCGGGACUUAACCCAACAUCUCACGACACGAGCUGACGACAACCAUGCACCACCUGCACGCGAGCCCGAAGGCACAGAUAUCUCUACCUGCUUCCCGCGCAUGUCAAGCCUUGGUAAGGUUCUUCGCGUUGCAUCGAAUUAAGCCACAAGCUCCGCCGCUUGUGCGGGCCCCCGUCAAUUCCUUUGAGUUUUAGCCUUGCGGCCGUACUCCCCAGGCGGGGCACUUAAUGCGUUAGCUACGGCGCGGAAAACGUGGAAUGUCCCCCACACCUAGUGCCCAACGUUUACGGCAUGGACUAC